GAGUUUGAUCCUGGCUCAGAACGAACGCUGGCGGCAGGCCUAACACAUGCAAGUCGAGCGAGAUCUUCGGAUCUAGCGGCGGACGGGUGAGUAACGCGUGGGAAUAUGCCCUUCUCUACGGAAUAGCCUCGGGAAACUGGGAGUAAUACCGUAUACGCCCUUAGGGGGAAAGAUUUAUCGGAGAAGGAUUAGCCCGCGUUGGAUUAGGUAGUUGGUGGGGUAAUGGCCUACCAAGCCUACGAUCCAUAGCUGGUUUGAGAGGAUGAUCAGCCACACUGGGACUGAGACACGGCCCAGACUCCUACGGGAGGCAGCAGUGGGGAAUCUUAGACAAUGGGGGCAACCCUGAUC
Molecule: ribosomal RNA, 351 nt
Filed under: Paracoccus sp. R-28239
Lineage: Bacteria; Pseudomonadati; Pseudomonadota; Alphaproteobacteria; Rhodobacterales; Paracoccaceae
Description: bacterial SSU rRNA
Rfam family: Bacterial small subunit ribosomal RNA
Source: RNAcentral